Molecule: non-coding RNA, 101 nt
Organism: Panus rudis PR-1116 ss-1
Lineage: Eukaryota; Fungi; Basidiomycota; Agaricomycetes; Polyporales; Panaceae
Source: the annotation of a GenBank genome assembly
GCCCGCCUAGCUCAAUCGGAUAGAGCGUCAGACUCUUAGGAGUGCGGGUCAGUACAGAUUCUGCGAUCUGAAGGCUGCGAGUUCGACCCUCGCGGUGGGCU